UGGGGAAUUUUGGACAAUGGGCGAAAGCCUGAUCCAGCAAUGCUGCGUGUGUGAAGAAGGCCUUCGGGUUGUAAAGCACUUUUGUCCGGAAAGAAAUCCUUGGCUCUAAUACAGUCGGGGGAUGACGGUACCGGAAGAAUAAGCACCGGCUAACUACGUGCCAGCAGCCGCGGUAAUACGUAGGGUGCAAGCGUUAAUCGGAAUUACUGGGCGUAAAGCGUGCGCAGGCGGUUUGCUAAGACCGAUGUGAAAUCCCCGGGCUCAACCUGGGAACUGCAUUGGUGACUGGCAGGCUAGAGUAUGGCAGAGGGGGGUAGAAUUCCACGUGUAGCAGGUGAAAUGCGUAGAGUGUGGAGGAAUACCGAUGGCGAAGGCAGCCCCUGGGCCAAUACUGACGCUCAUGCACGAAAGCGUGGGGAGCAAACAGGAUUAGAUACCCUGGUAGUCCACGCCCUAAACGAUGUCAACUAGUUGUUGGGGAUUCAUUUCCUUAGUAACGUAGCUAACGCGUGAAGUUGGACCGCCUGGGGAGUACGGUCGCAAGNUUAAAACUCAAAUGAAUUGACGGGGUCAUAGCUGUUUCCUG
Molecule: ribosomal RNA, 586 nt
Filed under: uncultured bacterium
Lineage: Bacteria
Description: partial 16S ribosomal RNA
Rfam family: Bacterial small subunit ribosomal RNA
Source: RNAcentral